RNAcentral lists this transfer RNA (75 nucleotides) under Gordonia phage GodonK. RNAcentral describes it as "tRNA-Gly". It matches the Rfam family "tRNA". From Rfam's summary of the family: Transfer RNA (tRNA) molecules are approximately 80 nucleotides in length. Their secondary structure includes four short double-helical elements and three loops (D, anti-codon, and T loops). Lineage: Duplodnaviria; Heunggongvirae; Uroviricota; Caudoviricetes. The record is from RNAcentral.
GCGGGUGUGAUGUUUAACGGUUAGCAUGUCAGUCUUCCAAACUGAACGUGGGAGUUCGAAUCUCCUCACCCGUUC